CGACUGGUGACCGGAUUCCACACACUUGGGAAUCCCCCAGGACGGAGCACCAGGGAGCAGGUGUCCCAAGAGCCCCCAGGGGAAGUUGAGCACGGAUCGGGCUUGGAGUCAGUCACCCAGAGCACAACUGAGGUGUGCUGGGCCCGCACCCUGGACCUGGGACCAUUCACAUCCUUGUGCAUUUGGGAGGAAGAUGGGUCCAGAGUGAACGGCUGCCUCCGAGCUGCUGCUGGGAGCCCAGGGUGGGUGACGAGGGCAGAUGUGCUGGGUCUGUCUGUCUGUCCUUCUAUUGUCCGUCUGUCUGUGUGUAUCUGGUUGUGUGCUCCUGGGGCCAGAGCGGGGGUCCGGCUGGCCCUGGAGGGCGGAGGAGGAUGGAGAGGUGACCUCAUCUCCUGGACUGAGGUCCCCACCGCGGCCCACAGGCAGCGCCGUCCCCAGGGGCUGUCCCCAGCUUGCAGGCGUCCCUGUCUGGCCGUGGCUGGCUGGCAAGGCCACACACAGGCACAGCGAACAGAGGUCUUUCUGAGACACAGGUUAAUUGUGUGCAGGCCGAGGAGUCCUGCCGAACGAGGGCUUUCCGGACUGCGCCAGGGAACACACGGAGAGGCGGAGACCCCGGCCCAGCCCCCGGCCGCUCAUUUCCUCGCCAGCUCUCCAGAAAUGCAGGCUGCUUUCAAAGCCUGGGGCUGCAGCCCGCCGGAGCAAGGGGUCGCUUCCGGGGUCAGCGGCUGGAUAAGCGGGUCAGUUUCAGCAGGAAACCAACAUUUAAGUGAUGCUGGCCAAAUCGACAGUCUAAAAGGUGGCUGCAACCUUUGCACAAGCCUGGGCUCUCUACCUCACUUUAUACCUCGGGAGUCCAAAAGUGGACAUUUAUCAAACAUAUGCACGUGCUGAAUGAAAUAAAUACAUACAUACCAAGCACCGUGGGAGCAGUUUCCAAAUCACUGUCAUUUGAAAUCUUCACAACUGGACAAAGGAGGCUUUAAAAAAUAUCAUUCUCAGCCAGGUAUGGUGUCGCAUGCCUGUAAUCCCAGCACUCGGGAGGCUGAGGCAGGAGGAUCCAUGAGUUCCAGGACAGCCUGGGCUACAUAGUGAGUUCAAGGCUGGCUUGAACUACAUAGUGAGACCCUGUCUCAAAAAAACAACCAACAACAACAACAACUAAAAAUCCUAGCUGGGGUGAGCACUGUAGGUUUGUAAAUCCAGCACCUAGGAGGCUGAGGCAGGAGGAUCUGCCAGUUGGAGUCUCACCUGAGCUACAUGGUGAGACACUCUCAAAACAAAAUAAAACAAAACAAAUAAUCUCAUUUAACAGAUAAGAACACUAAGUCUCAGAGGGGUGGAGAGUUGCUCAAGCUCAUUUGGCUGGAACUGUUGGGUAGGACUUGAUCUCUCCUCUGGCCCCCUCUGACCUCCCCAGUGGACAGGAAGACCCCUGGAGGGACACAGAGGAGAGAUCCACAGGGCUGCCUGCCUCCAGCGUUCCCCCUCCCUCACCUGGCUUCCAGGUCGGGAUGGGAGGAGGCUGUGGCCUCCCUCCGACCCCCAGAGCCACCCACCUCAGGUGCCAUUAAAGUUAAUUGUUUUUACUGCCAGUUUAACACAGCCUUGUAAAUCUUUUUAUGAUGUGGCCCGGGACACCGUGGCGUGCGCACCAUGUGAGACUAGAUGUUGUUUGAACACAGGACACUCUGGUCCCACAACGACCUAGCGGGUAUGGGGUGGCCUGGACUCUCCCCCCCGACCCGUAGCAUCAGGCCCUGACCCUCACUUGGAUGACAUUUUUCUCCCAGAUGAGACAGUGAUGGUCGGGAAGACCAAGCUCC
This 1826-nucleotide long non-coding RNA is filed under the name Chinchilla lanigera (long-tailed chinchilla). RNAcentral describes it as "lncRNA (ENSCLAG00000028094.1)". Lineage: Eukaryota; Metazoa; Chordata; Mammalia; Rodentia; Chinchillidae. The record is from RNAcentral.